UUUUCUUUCUUUCUCCCUAUUCUCUCGGCCCUCUCCCUUCGAAACCCUCCCUCCACUUCUCUCCUCGAUUUCAUUUACUUAGAGCGUGAUUCCGAACAAAGCCCAAGAAUUAAAGUCGUUAUACGGAGUUCGGGCUUCCUAUCCAUCCAAGAAAAAUCAUGAUUGGACAACGUGGGAGCUCGGUUGACUUGGUCAAAGGGUCGGGUUUUGCUCGAAACCCAUGAGGUUCAUUGCAGGUCAUGGUCAUGGAAUAUUUGGAGUGCAUGCAGACGUUAUCGAGUAAAGCUAUUUUGGAGAGUACUUUAUGAUUCUUGUAAAACAAACCGCUUUGUUAUGAAAUUCCUAUCUUAGAAGAUGCUAUUUGUAGACCAGUUUGUGGAAUUGUACACUGUAUUGUA
Molecule: long non-coding RNA, 398 nt
Organism: Rhododendron vialii
Lineage: Eukaryota; Viridiplantae; Streptophyta; Magnoliopsida; Ericales; Ericaceae
Exons: 2
Source: RefSeq, a predicted model, not a curated record